UCCUGCUCGAUAUAGGGGGACCACCCUCUAAGCCUAAAUACUCUUCAGUGACCGAUAGUGAACUAGUACCGUGAGGGAAAGGUGAAAAGAACCCCUAUUAGGGGAGUGAAAUAGAACCUGAAACUGCAUGCCUACAAUCAGUCGAAGCUCUUUUUAGAGUGACGGCGUACCUUUUGUAUAAUGGGUCAGUGACUUAAUUUAUUAAGCAAGCUUAAGCCAUCUAGGUGUAGGCGUAGCGAAAGCAAGUCUUAAUAGGGCGAUUAGUUUAAUGAAUUAGACCCGAAAACGAAUGAGCUUACCAUGAGCAGGUUGAAAGUUGGGUAACACCAACCGGAGGACCGAACCAGUUGACGUUGAAAAGUCUUUGGAUGACUUGUGGUAAGGGGUGAAAGGCCAACCAAAUUCGUAGAUAGCUGGUUUUCCGCGAAAACUAUUUAGGUAGUGCGUUGAAUAAAUAGAUGUUUAGAGGUAGAGCACUAAAUGGGCUAGGGGGAAGAGAUUCUUACCAAACCUAAUAAAACUCCGAAUGCUAGACAUUGUUCUUCAACAGACAGACUGUGGGUGCUAAGGUCCAUGGUCGAGAGGGAAAGAGCCCAGACCACCAGAUAAGGUCCCAAAAUUAUGAUUAAGUGUGAAAGGAUGUGGAAAUUCCUUAACAGCCGGGAGGUUGGCUUAGAAGCAGCCAUCCUUUAAAGAUAGCGUAACAGCUCACCGGUCUAAUAGAGUUUCUGCGCCGAAGAUGUAACGGGGCUAAAAUCAUAUACCGAAUCUGUGGGUUUAUAAAACUUUCGAGUUUUAUAAGCGGUAGCGGAACGUUCUGUAAGCCUGUGAAGGGAUACCUGUGAGGGAUCCUGGAGGUAUCAGAAGUGCGAAUGCUGACAUAAGUAACGAUAAAAGAAGUGAAAAACUUCUUCGCCGAAAAUCCAAGGGUUUCUGCGCAAGGUUAAUCCGCGCAGAGUUAGUCGGCACCUAAGGCGAGGGCGAAAGCCGUAGUCGAUGGAAAUAAGGUUAAUAUUCCUUAACCAGAUGGUAGUGACGAAUCUUGUAAGUUGUAAGUUCUUAAUGGAUUGAACUUGCCGCGAAAAGGUUCCAAGAAAUAGCUCCAUCAUUAGACCGUACCCUAAACCGACACAGGUGGAUUAAUAGAGUAUAUUUAGGCGCUUGAGAGAAUGAUGUUGAAGGAACUCGGCAAAAUGCUUCCGUAACUUCGGGAUAAGGAAGACCUUUUUUUAGGCAACUAAAAAUGGGUGGCACAAGCCAGGGAGAAGCGACUGUUUAUCAAAAACACAGGGCUCUGCUAACACGUAAGUGGAUGUAUAGGGUCUGACGCCUGCCCGGUGCUGGAAGGUUAAUGCGGUUGGUGCAAGCUAACUUCUGAAGCCCCAGUAAACGGCGGCCGUAACUAUAACGGUCCUAAGGUAGCGAAAUUCCUUGUCGGGUAAGUUCCGACCUGCAUGAAUGGCGUAACGAUUUCUCCGCUGUCUCCAACAUCAACUCAGUGAAAUUGAAUUCUCCGUGAAGAUGCGGAGUUCGCGUAGUUAGACGGAAAGACCCCGUGCAC
This 1561-nucleotide ribosomal RNA is filed under the name marine metagenome. RNAcentral's name for it is "bacterial LSU rRNA". It matches the Rfam family "Bacterial large subunit ribosomal RNA", at positions 432 to 2098 of the family's 2925-position model. The record is from RNAcentral.